This 832-nucleotide ribosomal RNA is filed under the name Escherichia coli. Its description in RNAcentral is "partial 23S ribosomal RNA". It matches the Rfam family "Bacterial large subunit ribosomal RNA", at positions 1 to 867 of the family's 2925-position model. Lineage: Bacteria; Pseudomonadati; Pseudomonadota; Gammaproteobacteria; Enterobacterales; Enterobacteriaceae. The record is from RNAcentral.
GGGUUGUGAGGUUAAGCGACUAAGCGUACACGGUGGAUGCCCUGGCAGUCAGAGGCGAUGAAGGACGUGCUAAUCUGCGAUAAGCGUCGGUAAGGUGAUAUGAACCGUUAUAACCGGCGAUUUCCGAAUGGGGAAACCCAGUGUGAUUCGUCACACUAUCAUUAACUGAAUCCAUAGGUUAAUGAGGCGAACCGGGGGAACUGAAACAUCUAAGUACCCCGAGGAAAAGAAAUCAACCGAGAUUCCCCCAGUAGCGGCGAGCGAACGGGGAGGAGCCCAGAGCCUGAAUCAGUGUGUGUGUUAGUGGAAGCGUCUGGAAAGGCGCGCGAUACAGGGUGACAGCCCCGUACACAAAAAUGCACAUGCUGUGAGCUCGAUGAGUAGGGCGGGACACGUGGUAUCCUGUCUGAAUAUGGGGGGACCAUCCUCCAAGGCUAAAUACUCCUGACUGACCGAUAGUGAACCAGUACCGUGAGGGAAAGGCGAAAAGAACCCCGGCGAGGGGAGUGAAAAAGAACCUGAAACCGUGUACGUACAAGCAGUGGGAGCCUCUUUAUGGGGUGACUGCGUACCUUUUGUAUAAUGGGUCAGCGACUUAUAUUCUGUAGCAAGGUUAACCGAAUAGGGGAGCCGAAGGGAAACCGAGUCUUAACUGGGCGUUAAGUUGCAGGGUAUAGACCCGAAACCCGGUGAUCUAGCCAUGGGCAGGUUGAAGGUUGGGUAACACUAACUGGAGGACCGAACCGACUAAUGUUGAAAAAUUAGCGGAUGACUUGUGGCUGGGGGUGAAAGGCCAAUCAAACCGGGAGAUAGCUGGUUCUCCCCGAAAGCU